GGAAAGCUCCAUGGAAGAUAAAGGCAGAGAUUUACAAGCCAAGGAAUGUCAAAGACGGCCAGCACACCACCAGAAGCUAGCAGAGAGAGACGGGGUUUUACCACGUUAGCCGGGCUGGUCUUGAACUCCUGACCUCAGGUGAUCCACCCGCCUCGAUCGCCCAUUAUUAACAAUCAAAUGGCUGUUCUUCAUGGUACUGGUACAAAAACAGAUAUAUACACCAAUGGAACAGAACAGAGGCCUCAGAAACAACACCACACAUCUACAACCAUCUGAUCUUUGACAAACCUGACAAAAACAAGCAAUGAAGAAAGGAUUCCCUAUUUAAUAAAUGGUGUUGGGAAAACUGGCUAGCCAUAUGCAGAAAACUGAAACUGGACCCCUUCCUUACACCUUAUACAAAAAUUAACUCAAGAUGGACUAAAGAUUUAAACAUAAGACCUAAAACAAUAAAAACCCUAGAAGAAAACCUAGGCAUUACCAUUCAGGACAUAGACAUGGGCAAAGACUUAAUGACUAAAACACCAAAAGCAAUGGCAACAAAAGCCAAAACUGACAAAUGAGAUCUAAUUAAACUAAAGAGCUCCUGCAUAGCAAAAGAAACUAUCAUCAGAGUGAACAGGCAACCUACAGAAUGGAAGAAAAUUUUUGCAAUCUAUCCAUCUAACAAAGGGCUAAUAUCCAGAAUCUACAAGGAACUUAAACAAAUUUACAAGAAAAAACAACCCCAUCAAAAAGUGGGCAAAGGAUAUGAACAGACACUUUUCAAAAGAAGACAUUUAUGCAGCCAACAAACAUGAAAAAAAGCUCAUCAUCACGUCAUUAGAGAAAUGCAAAUCAAAACCACAAUGAGAUACCAUCUCACGCCAGUUAGAAUGGCGAUCAUUAAAAUGUCAGGAAACAACAGAUGCUGGAGAGGAUGUGGAGAAAUAGGAAUGCUUUUACACUGCUGGUGGGACUGUAAACUAGUUCAACCAUUGUGGAAGAGAGUGUGGCAGUUCCUCAAGGAUCUAGAACUAGAAAUACCAUUUGACCCAGAAAUCCCAUUACUGGGUAUAUACCAUAAGGAUUAUAAACGAUUCUACUAUAAAGACACACGCACAAGUAUGUUUAUUGCAGCACUAUUCACAAUAGCAAAUAAUUGGAACCAACCGAAAUGCCCAUCAAUGAUAGACUAGAUAAAGAAAAUGUGGUACAUAUACACCAUGGAAUACUAUGUAGCCACAAAAAAGAGUGAGUUUAUGUCCUUUGCAGGGACAUUGAUGAAGCUGGAAGCCAUCAUUCUCAGCAAACUAACACAAGAACAGAAAACCAAACACUGCAUGUUCUCACUCGUAAGUGGGAAUUGAAUAAUGAGAACAUAUGGGCACAGGGAAGGGAACAUCAUACACUGGGGCCUGUCGGGGAGUGGGGGGCACUCUAUCAUUAGGAGAAUUACCUAAUGGAGAUGACGGGUUGAGGGGUGCAGCAAACCACCAUGGCACAUGUAUACCUAUGUAACAAACCUGCACGUUCUGCAUACGUAUCCCAGAACUUAAAGUAUAAUAAAAUAAAUAAAUCAAUAAAUAAAUACAUAAAUAAUAAAAAUCGCUGUUCUUAACAACUGGCUUGCAAAAUUUGACUCUAGCAAGCAAGAAGAUGUGGGCUCUGGCAUGCUACUGCAUGAAGGCAAGAGGAAAACAUUAGGAGCCAAUUUUAGCAUAAUAUUUUGAAGUUGCUGCUUCCAUUGGAGUCACUGUGGCUGCUGGCAACAUGCUGGAGAGGUGGAUAUCAGUUAGGCAGCCACAGAUCCUGGUGGGACCCCAGAAAAAUCGCAGGGGGUGCUCAAAUCCAUAUGUUUAUAUGUGAUUUCUUAACAGAGAGUAAAAACACAAUUUAAAUGAACAUGAUUUUUGAAAGCAACAGCCCAUUUUCUUCAAUUCUAAAAAUGGAAACCUGAAAAAGGGUACACACCAUCGUGUAUGGAAUACGAUAUAUAGUGAGGGAAUAAAGUUCACAGUUGGGUGAACAAAAGUUCCAUCCAUCUUGGUAUUCACAACCUACUCUGCCUUACCAACACUUUUCCACAUAUUGUGGGAAAGAUUAUCUCAGAUGACUGCAUGCAUAUUGCUUGGGUAGGACAAUUUCCUACUAAUUGCCAGGAACAACCAAACCCUAGUGGUAAUCAUCAAAGCUUAGGCCAAUCCUGUUACAAGUACACAAUGAAUACGCAUCUAAAAGACUUGGCGUAGUGCCUGGUCUUGACAACAUGUAAUUAACCCUAGCUAUAAUUCUGGAUGGCACAGAGUUUCAGUGAGAAGCAAUUUAAGGAAAAACACAUGCUCCUUUAAACAAUUUUAGAUUUUAUCAGUCAAUGAUUUUAGAAAGUUACCAUCAUCCUUUAUAACAUUUAAGAACAUGUCAAUGGAAAAGUCACUGGAUUCAGAGUUGAGGAACUAGAUUCUGGUCUUGAUUCUGCUACUACCUAUCUGUGUGAUGUUAAGUAAGUAAUGUCACUUCUAUGCACCCUGGUUUUCCAAUUUCUAAAGUAAGGGUGUUGGGGUAAGUAAGGGCUAUUUUUUUAAUGAAAAAAUCCAACCUCCACAACUAAAAAAAUUUCAUGUCCUAUGAAUUAGAAAUUCAACAAAUAUGUCCUCAAUGUUACUCACUUGAACAGCCAUUAAGACCCUUUUACGGAUUUUCUAAAGUCACAUUCUCUUUUGUUCUUCUGAACAAACACUGAUUCCCCUUGUUUCCAAAUGUAUAUUUGACCUUUCUUCAAUGUUUAUUAUCAGUCUUCCCCACUGAAGUUUGUUUACUUAUGAGAACAGGGCUCUCUUUCCGGUAGAUCAUAAAGCAAUUCCCGGAAGGGCCUCGGGUGGGAGGAUGUGCUCAGGUACAGAAGAUAUCUCACAAUGUUGACCUAUUAAGAAAAUGGGUGGUCCUAGACUCUGGGCUGGUGAGCAUUUUUCUUCUGCCUUCUAGCAAUUUCUUAUAAAUGGCAAAGUCUUGUUUUAAAAAUCUGAGUCUGUGUUUUUUUUUCUUCCCCUAGUACUGUUGAAUAAAAAAUUCUACAUUUCCAAGCAUACUGUGCCUGCGAUCAAAUGAUGACACAAUCAGCACCCCUAAUAAUAGUAAUAGCUUCCCUUGAUUGAGGCUCUGAG
Molecule: long non-coding RNA, 3143 nt
Filed under: Homo sapiens (human)
Lineage: Eukaryota; Metazoa; Chordata; Mammalia; Primates; Hominidae
Description: HSALNT0352627
Source: RNAcentral